CAUGCAAGUCGAACGGAGAUUACAGGCGGAAGUUUUCGGACGGAAGCUUGUAAACUUAGUGGCGGACGGGUGAGUAACACGUGAGCAACCUGCCUAUCAGAGGGGGAUAACGAUUGGAAACGAUCGCUAAUACCGCAUGACAUAGCGGAAUCGCAUGGUUCUGUUAUCAAAGAUUUUAUCGCUGAUAGAUGGGCUCGCGUCCGAUUAGAUAGUUGGUGGGGUAACGGCCUACCAAGUCGACGAUCGGUAGCCGGACUGAGAGGUCGAACGGCCACAUUGGGACUGAGACACGGCCCAGACUCCUACGGGAGGCAGCAGUGGGGGAUAUUGCACAAUGGGGGAAACCCUGAUGCAGCGACGCCGCGUGAGGGAAGACGGUCCUCUGGAUUGUAAACCUCUGUCUUCGGGGACGAAACGAGACGGUACCCGAGGAGGAAGCCACGGCUAACUACGUGCCAGCAGCCGCGGUAAUACGUAGGUGGCAAGCGUUGUCCGGAAUUACUGGGUGUAAAGGGAGCGUAGGCGGGCAGGCAAGUCAGGCGUGAAAUAUAUCGGCUCAACCGGUAACGGCGCUUGAAACUGCAGGUCUUGAGUGAAGUAGAGGUUGGCGGAAUUCCUAGUGUAGCGGUGAAAUGCGU
RNAcentral lists this ribosomal RNA (638 nucleotides) under uncultured bacterium. RNAcentral describes it as "bacterial SSU rRNA". It matches the Rfam family "Bacterial small subunit ribosomal RNA", at positions 54 to 691 of the family's 1533-position model. The record is from RNAcentral.